CCUGCAGUGAUGAGUAAACUGACUUUCGUUCUACUGAAUUUGCUGAAGACAUAUUUUUAUCUGAAAAGG
Molecule: small nucleolar RNA, 69 nt
Organism: Xenopus tropicalis (tropical clawed frog)
Lineage: Eukaryota; Metazoa; Chordata; Amphibia; Anura; Pipidae
Source: Ensembl